Molecule: ribosomal RNA, 467 nt
Filed under: uncultured bacterium
Lineage: Bacteria
Description: partial 16S ribosomal RNA
Rfam family: Bacterial small subunit ribosomal RNA
Source: RNAcentral
GAUGAACGCUGGCGGCGCGCCUAACACAUGCAAGUCGAACGAUUAAAGCACCUUCGGGUGUGUAUAAAGUGGCGAACGGCUGAGUAACACGUGGGCAACCUGCCCCUUUCAUUGGGAUAGCCACGGGAAACCGUGGAUAAUACCGAAUACUUCGAGACUUCCGCAUGGAAGACUCGAGAAAGCUCCGGCGGAGAGGGAUGGGCCCGCGGCCUGUUAGCUUGUUGGUGGGGUAACGGCCUACCAAGGCAAUGAUGGGUAGCUGGGUUGAGAGACCGACCAGCCAGAUUGGGACUGAGACACGGCCCAGACUCCUACGGGAGGCAGCAGUGGGGAAUCUUGCACAGUGGGCGAAAGCCUGAUGCAGCGACGCCGCGUGCGGGAUGAAGGCCUUCGGGUUGUAAACCGCUUUCAGCAGGGACGAGGCGAAAGUGACGGUACCUGCAGAAGAAGCCCCGGCUAACUACGUG